Molecule: small nuclear RNA, 163 nt
Filed under: Echinops telfairi (small Madagascar hedgehog)
Lineage: Eukaryota; Metazoa; Chordata; Mammalia; Afrosoricida; Tenrecidae
Description: U1 spliceosomal RNA (ENSETEG00000021442.1)
Rfam family: U1 spliceosomal RNA
About the family: U1 is a small nuclear RNA (snRNA) component of the spliceosome (involved in pre-mRNA splicing). Its 5' end forms complementary base pairs with the 5' splice junction, thus defining the 5' donor site of an intron.
Source: RNAcentral
AUACUUACCUGGCUGGGGAGAUACCGUGGUCACGAAGGUGGUUUUCCCAGGCGAGGCUCACCCAGUGCACUCCGGAUGUGCUGACCCCUGCGAUUUCCCCAAAUGUGGGAAACUCGACUGCAUAAUUUGUGGUAGUGGGGGACUGCGUUGGUGCUAUCCUCUG